Erpetoichthys calabaricus (reedfish) is the source of this 1192-nucleotide long non-coding RNA. RefSeq lists it as uncharacterized. The record is from RefSeq and is a predicted model, not a curated record. The transcript is spliced from 3 exons. Lineage: Eukaryota; Metazoa; Chordata; Cladistia; Polypteriformes; Polypteridae.
GUUGGGUAGAAACCCGGAAGUGUGGGAGGGAGAAAACAGGCGAACUUGCUUUGGUGUUCUAACGAAACAUUCUACCCAUCGAAAUGAUAUACUUACUGAUACUACGCAUGCGCAGACCAAAAUUACGCAACUUUUCUCGAAGCUUACCAACUGCUUGUCGAUCUGUCCUACCUAGUGUUGAAGUUUGAGCUAUGGAAAAAAAGUGGGAAGAAAUUUAUAACUCAUAAAAGGAGGGCUAAUGGAUGUGUUAACCAGUGAGUCUGCCAUGAGAACUGCAAGGAUGGACAUAGCCUGUGCUCUCCUUGAAUACAGAGGUAAUACAAUGAUAUGAUUCACAUACAGUAAUAUAUUUUAUCAUACAGUUCAUAAGGAUUCUCCUGCAAAAGUUCUGUUAAUGUGAAAGGAGCAUCCCAAUGUUCUAAGGUCCAAUACUUGUUUGUAAUGAUAUCUGAUUAACAUCUUUGAUAUUGCAUUUUGGAAAACCUAACAUGAUGCAACACACUUUCAAAUUUUAAGUUAGGUUUGCUUGAAGAAUUAUUUUGUCAGAAGCCGCAAAUAUUAGCAUACUAGCAAUAAAAUAAUUGAAAGUAAAUUAAAUAUUGAGUGAAGAUUAUUUUCUUAUUUUGAAUAACAGCAGUAUGUUACACCUAACACUACUAUUGCUUUUUCAAAAUACUGAAAAUUAAUCAAAUGACUGAUGUUAAAGCUUGUAUACUAAUGAGAACAACUGUGAUUAUAGGCAAUGCAGAAGGUUAUUGCUUGGUUUGUUCCAAGCUGGAAGAUGAUCCCAACAAAAGCACAAUUGAAAUGGUAACAAUAUUUCAACAUGUACCAUCCACAAUAAUAUAAUAUCCUACUAUGCUCAUUUUCACUCUUCAUAAUUUUGUUCUUGGGGUCUAGUAAUAUAACUUAACAAGUAAAAUAUUAACUGCUUCUACACCUGCUUGGCCGCAUCAGAAGAAAUAGUUAAUUGAAUCAGUCACUAUUAUUACUGUUUCCAUGUUCAGACUAAUCGUUAUGUUUUAGUUUUCAGGUGCAGUGUGAUAUGUGCAGUCGCUGGGCACAUUUUGAAUGUGCAAAAUACAAUGAAAAAAUUGAAAUAGCAUAUGUUUGUAAAAAAUGUAUAGAUAAAUAAGUAUUGUUCUUUGGUCUUUGUUGUUGGAGUGUUUUAUUGUUCACAAAUGUAUGUAAA